Long non-coding RNA from Stegodyphus dumicola, 209 nucleotides. The record is from RefSeq and is a predicted model, not a curated record. NCBI's taxonomy places the organism in Eukaryota, Metazoa, Arthropoda, Arachnida, Araneae, Eresidae.
UUAAAGGUUCACUUCUACAUUGGUGUAUAUUUGUUUGUACUGCUGGUAAUUUCUUCAACUAGACGUAACAUGCCAGCAUUAGUGAGCAAGAAGUUAGCAGCAAGUUGAGUAUUUACACCAUGGAAGUGAAGCAGAAUUUCUAGACCCAUUUGUUGCCUUCUAAUCAUGUAAAAUUUGUCAUUUUGAAAUAAAUUUUUCAUAAUAACUUA